CGUAGGAUCCGAGCGUUGUCCGGAUUUACUGGGUGUAAAGGGUGCGCAGGCGGACUGGUAAGUCAGAGGUGAAAUCUCGUCGCUCAACGACGAAACUGCCUUUGAUACUAUCAGUCUUGAAUCCGGUAGAGAUCUGUGGAAUUCCGAGUGUAGCAGUGAAAUGUGUAGAUAUUCGGAAGAACACCAGUGGCGAAGGCAGCAGAUUGGGCCGGUAUUGACGCUCAGGCACGAAAGCAUGGGGAUCAAACAGGAUUAGAGACCCUGGUAGUCCAUGCCCUAAACGAUGUUCACUUGAUGUCUGCCCUCAGGGUAGGUGUCGAAGCUAACGCGAUAAGUGAACCACCUGGGGAGUACGCUCGCAAGGCUA
Molecule: ribosomal RNA, 367 nt
Filed under: uncultured organism
Description: bacterial SSU rRNA
Rfam family: Bacterial small subunit ribosomal RNA
Source: RNAcentral